RNAcentral lists this long non-coding RNA (199 nucleotides) under Elaeis guineensis (African oil palm). RNAcentral describes it as "long non-coding RNA (EGUI_LNC009292)". Lineage: Eukaryota; Viridiplantae; Streptophyta; Magnoliopsida; Arecales; Arecaceae. The record is from RNAcentral.
UGCAACAGGAUUCGAGGCUGCUUCCAGCAUGGCAGGCACGGCUAGUGUCAGCUCCGGUGUUGGCUGGCACUGUGGUUAGGGGGUGGACUAUGUGCUUGACUUAGACCCUUCAAGGAUGGUGGUGUUUCUUGCAGAGGAACCACCUCGAUGAUGUUUGGCUUAUCAUUGAUCUCUAUGGGCUUCAAGCUUAGAAGUAGCA